GAGAAAAUCCCACAAUUUCAUUAAUAUGAAAAGCAAUACCCUCCAAAUUAUUUUAAUGUUCCCUUUUUCCAUUAUUACCAUCUAUGCUAGAAGAGUAUUUUAUCUUGGUAUCUGGCAAACAUACACAGAAGGCACAGAACAGUAUCUGUUGCAGAAGCUAGUUUUUAACUUCCUCUGGCUCUUACUCAUAAAACUCACCCUCUCCCUGUAAGCAAGUGGAAGGAGAUAGACUGGCACUUCUUCAGCAAGGUUUAAAUUUCCCUCUUUAUAAUGGUACAUUUUAAGCUUUAAUUAGCACAUUUGAUCCUGUUUUAAACAAAAACCAGAAUGUUUGAAAAUUUUUAUAUUAGCAAAAGGAAGAGAGGACUGGGAAACACAUUGAUCUACUUCAUUGCUUUAUCUGAGAUCUAUCCUUCUGCCUAAAUUAACUAGUUGUAAAUUAUUUUGUAAUUCAAUGAAAAAACUGGCUAAGCGUGUCAUUAACUGAAUGCCAUGCUUGAGCAAGUAACUUCAUGAGAAGCUAGACACUGACAUGCAUAGGUCUUCUAUCUAGACAGAUUCAUGUCUCCAGAACCUGUCUCUGAGGUGUGAUUCCCUAGGGCUCACUAUAGGUAUGAAACUGAAGAGAUCUAAAGCACCAAAGCAAGUCCAAAGUAUAAUGCUAUUUGCAAAAAAAUUAAAUGAAAAUUACAUUAAAUAAAAGUGGUGUUGGGCUGCUCUCCAUUAUCACUGAACAGGUUCAGACAAAUCUAUUUAAGUUUAGACUGUCAACUACUGUUGUAGAAGGGACACAUUAUCUCCAAGAGGAGUUAGCUAAAGCUUGGGGAAUCAUCCUCUGUGUAAAUGGAACAUGGAGCUUUUAUAAUAGAAAAUAAUUUUGGGGGAAUUCUUAUCUAUAAGAGAAAAUGGCUUUUUCCUGCAGGGAAAGGAAAAGGACAUUACUAACUAACAAUCUGCCUCCUUUCUUUUAGGAAUGGAUUUGACUUGUUACAAAUAUAGAGAGAAAAAUUCUGGCCUUCAACCCCAGGCAUUAGCAAUGUGAGAAAAACUGAAAAAGGAGUUGUGACAAUGCCAGGAAAUCACAGAUCCAGCAACAGAGAACUCAUUGCCCUCCCUGGAUGUGAAGAAAAGGAGACAGCUGAGUCAGAAUGGACUGAGAGCUCCCACUUCAUCUUGGUGGAGGUAUUUCACUUGCCUUUACACUACUGUUGCCUUGAAAAUGCCAUUUCUGCAUUAAUGUAAUGACUGGCUGCAGGCCUGUAGCUGAUCUCUCUGCACAUGAGCUCUGUCUCUGGACCAGAUGUACAGAAGCAUCGUGGUACAUUGCUUCUUCUGCACAAGUAGCAGACCAGUAUCAUCAACACGUGACUGUGCUGAACCAGCAGGUACUAUAAAGCAGCAACUUUAGCAUGGAUCACAGCAGUUCGGAUGUGGCAGAAUAACUAGGUAUUAUUGCAGGACUUUGUUGUUGCAGUAGAUUUGAAGAGCAUGCUACUGCCUGGCUGGGACGGACUGGUGGCACUGCUGAGACUCGCACAAGUGGAGUUUGGUUACUUGCAGAUUUCGAGGGGAUGGGGGUUCAGCUGACAUCAAAGCCAGCGUUUAAUUCUCUUUUGCAUCUGGUGCUUAAAGCACAAUGUUCAGCUGCUUCUCUCAUAGGACUGCUCCUGGUUGAGAUGAUGCAGGACAUGAAGUAUUUCAUGCUCAGGAUGCUGGUGGAGAGGUCCCUCUGUGUAAAUCCUUUACCAGUUGUCUAUUUUUUUAAAUGAAUUCCUGGCUGGUCUAUGGGGAACUCAAGACUGUGCUGUUUGUUAGCACAAAUGAGCCCAACACAAAUAAUUGGUUUUUUCACCAGAGGGUUGUGCAACUCCUGCCAUACUUGGCUUUCAACCUGGGCCUGGUGGUCACGUUGGGACCCACAAUUUCCUCCCAUGGUUUUGUCUGUGCUGUCACUGUGGAGCAGAAAACACUUUUGUUCCCAGCAUAUUUGGGGAUAUAGGAGUGCAUAGUAGGCAUAUGUAUGGGGAACAACAUGAUCUUUAAUAAAAAUCAGUCUCCUAAAUGACAUAAAUUAAGUGUAAAUGCAUAAUGGGAAAGUCCACACGGAGCUGGCUUAGUUGAAGAGUGAACUUUUGAAAUACAGUUCUUUUUCCUGGUACGUGGCAUCUUGUCUUUGCUCCGAGACAUGUGUAGCAGAUAUUUUUCAGCUUUUCUUUCUCCCUUUCAUUGCUGGGUACUGCUUUCAGUCUUAAUUCAUGCAACACAGACAUCAAACAUGAUUUUCAAACAAAGACCAGGUCUCCUCAGGACCUCCGCCCAUCCCUCACUCAAGCUUUGCUGUGCCAUACAGCAGCUCUCACAGCCCGUCGCCACUUGGGAUUCUUCAGCUCUGGCCUCGUGGUGUAUCACGCCACAGUUGUACCCCAAGAGUAGAAACCAUUGCUGGUCUAACACGUGGCAGCAUCUUGCCUCUGUGGUGCUUUGAGCUUAAGAGAUCUACUAACAGAGAGAGGAUCUCGGAGCUUUAUGUCCUUUGUCGCGGCUGCUUCUCCCCAGU
Molecule: long non-coding RNA, 2557 nt
Organism: Harpia harpyja (harpy eagle)
Lineage: Eukaryota; Metazoa; Chordata; Aves; Accipitriformes; Accipitridae
Exons: 3
Source: RefSeq, a predicted model, not a curated record